RNAcentral lists this ribosomal RNA (420 nucleotides) under Triticum aestivum (bread wheat). RNAcentral describes it as "partial small subunit ribosomal RNA". Lineage: Eukaryota; Viridiplantae; Streptophyta; Magnoliopsida; Poales; Poaceae. The record is from RNAcentral.
UUCUCUUGUGUCUGGAAAUCAAGGGUUCCUCCGAAAAUUAAGAUUUUUCUCUGGCAGGCCUUUCGUGGUCGCCUCCCUACUGCUGAUCAGAUUAAAAAACGCAAUGGGCCGGGCUCUGAAUUCUGUAACCUGUGUGGGGCCUUGGAAAAUUCCGACCACAUCUUUUUCAACUGUGUACUUGCCAAAUUAGUUUGGUCUUGCGUCAAAUCUUGGCUUCGGGUUUCUUGGAAUCCCUCCUCUUUUUCUGAUAUUAGAACUCUAGCUAAAACUUUGGUCGGGGUCACCAAGAGGGUAUUUUGGGUUGGCUUGGGAGCCUUAUGCUGGGCCUUAUGGAAUAUUAGAAACAAAUUUACUAUUGAGCUUACCUUCCCAUCUAAACCUGCUGAUGUUCUAUUCAAAUCAUGUAUAUUCUUGCAGUAG